AGAGUUUGAUCCUGGCUCAGAGUGAACGCUGGCGGCGUGCUUAACACAUGCAAGUCGAACGAGAACGGAUUAUAGCUUGCUAUAAUUGUCAGCUAAGUGGCGCACGGGUGAGUAAUGUAUAGGUAAUAUGCCUCUUACUAAGGGAUAACAAAUGGAAACGUUUGCUAAUACCUUAUACUCCUUAUUAACAGAAGUUAAUAAGGGAAAGAUUUAUUGGUAAGAGAUUAGCCUGUAUUGUAUCAGUUAGUUGGUGGGGUAAUGGCUUACCAAGACUAUGACACAUAACUGGUUUGAGAGGAUGAUCAGUCACACUGGAACUGAGACACGGUCCAGACUCCUACGGGAGGCAGCAGUGGGGAAUAUUGCACAAUGGACGAAAGUCUGAUGCAGCAACGCCGCGUGGAGGAUGACACAUUUCGGUGCGUAAACUCCUUUUAUAUGAGAAGAUAAUGACGGUAUUAUAUGAAUAAGCACCGGCUAACUCCGUGCCAGCAGCCGCGGUAAUACGGGGGGUGCAAGCGUUACUCGGAAUCACUGGGCGUAAAGAGCAUGUAGGCGGAUUAAUAAGUUUGAAGUGAAAUCCUAUAGCUUAACUAUAGAACUGCUUUGAAAACUGUUAAUCUAGAAUGUGGGAGAGGUAGAUGGAAUUUCUGGUGUAGGGGUAAAAUCCGUAGAGAUCAGAAGGAAUACCGAUUGCGAAGGCGAUCUACUGGAACAUUAUUGACGCUGAGAUGCGAAAGCGUGGGGAGCAAACAGGAUUAGAUACCCUGGUAGUCG
RNAcentral lists this ribosomal RNA (777 nucleotides) under uncultured bacterium. RNAcentral's name for it is "bacterial SSU rRNA". It matches the Rfam family "Bacterial small subunit ribosomal RNA", at positions 8 to 796 of the family's 1533-position model. The record is from RNAcentral.